GUGCUCACUUCGGCAGCACAUAUACUAAAACUGGAACCAUACAGAGAAGAUUAGCAUGGCCUCUGCACAAUGAGGACACACACCUUCAUUAAGUGUUGCAUAUUUUU
Small nuclear RNA from Lemur catta (Ring-tailed lemur), 107 nucleotides. The record is from RefSeq and is a predicted model, not a curated record. NCBI's taxonomy places the organism in Eukaryota, Metazoa, Chordata, Mammalia, Primates, Lemuridae.